GUAUAGUUAAAAAACCAAGAGAAACAAAAGUUAAGUAUGUUUCCAAAUUGAAAUUGGAAAAUUCAGAGCUACUUCUUCAUUUUGUUAGCCAGCUUUUCAAGCUUCAAUGCAUCGAUCCAUUUCCUCCAUUCAACUAAGAUCUGGUGGUGGGUUUUGUUGAAAGCGGCGGUCUCUAUUCUAAUUUGGUCCUGCCAUGUGUUUGCGCUUAAGGUACCUGAUCCUCCAAUAAUGAUUGCUUGUGGUCUGGUCGUUCUUUGGUCUUAUGUAUCUCUACUAAGUUUUCUGGACUGGUUGGUUGUAUUUGGAUUGAGGAACAAAGCAUGGACACUAAUGAGCAAAAAGGAACAAGGCAGCUGAAAAGAUGAAGAAAAGAAGGCAUGAGGAUCGCCUAAUCCAUUGGGCGAAUCGCCGAAUGGCUGAUGUCUCGCCUAAUGUUCAAGUGUGCCAAGCCCUGAAGGAGAAAAUCAAGUAGGCGAUCGAAAGGAGCAGUCGGCGAGUCGCCGAACAGUUCCGCGAUGCAGUACCAUAUCGCCCAAAGUUACAGAGCUUGAAGAUGCUGAAGGCCAAAGCAAAAAGGCGAUGAAAUUGACCAAAGGGCAGAUCGCCGAGUGAAUCGGCGAUCCCGACUUACUGUGCCGAAUGGUCCUUCGCAACACAAUUUUUGACAACUAUAAAUAUAUUUUUAAAUU
Long non-coding RNA from Solanum stenotomum, 689 nucleotides. RefSeq lists it as uncharacterized. The transcript has 4 exons. NCBI's taxonomy places the organism in Eukaryota, Viridiplantae, Streptophyta, Magnoliopsida, Solanales, Solanaceae. The record is from RefSeq and is a predicted model, not a curated record.